CCUACGUGUGGCAGCAGUGAGGAAUAUUGGUCAAUGGCCGAGAGUCUGAACCAGCCAAGUAGCGUGAAGGAUGACUGCUCUAUGGGUUGUAAUCUUCUUUUAUAUGGGAAUAAAAUGUUCCACGUGUGGGAUUUUGUAUGUACCAUAUGAAUAAGGAUCGGCUAACUCCGUGCCAGCAGCCGCGGUAAGACUGAGGAUCCGAGCGUUAUCCGGAUUUAUUGGGUUUAAAGGGAGCGUAGGUGGAUGGGUAAGUCAGUUGUGAAAGGUUGCGGCUCAACCGUAAAAUUGCAGUUGAAACUGGCAGUCUUGAGUACAGUAGAGGUGGGCGGAAUUCGUGGUGUAGCGGUGAAAUGCUUAGAUAUCACGAAGAACUCCGAUUGCGAAGGCAGGUCACUGGACUGCAACUGACACUGAGGCUCGAAAGUGUGGGUAUCAAACAGGAUUAGAUACCCCAGUAGUC
This 460-nucleotide ribosomal RNA is filed under the name uncultured bacterium. Its description in RNAcentral is "partial 16S ribosomal RNA". It matches the Rfam family "Bacterial small subunit ribosomal RNA", at positions 338 to 795 of the family's 1533-position model. The record is from RNAcentral.